Molecule: ribosomal RNA, 1501 nt
Filed under: Helicobacter pylori
Lineage: Bacteria; Pseudomonadati; Campylobacterota; Epsilonproteobacteria; Campylobacterales; Helicobacteraceae
Description: bacterial SSU rRNA
Rfam family: Bacterial small subunit ribosomal RNA
Source: RNAcentral
UAUGGAGAGUUUGAUCCUGGCUCAGAGUGAACGCUGGCGGCGUGCCUAAUACAUGCAAGUCGAACGAUGAAGCUUCUAGCUUGCUAGAAUGCUGAUUAGUGGCGCACGGGUGAGUAACGCAUAGGUCAUGUGCCUCUUAGUUUGGGAUAGCCAUUGGAAACGAUGAUUAAUACCAGAUACUCCCUACGGGGGAAAGAUUUAUCGCUAAGAGAUCAGCCUAUGUCCUAUCAGCUUGUUGGUAAGGUAAUGGCUUACCAAGGCUAUGACGGGUAUCCGGCCUGAGAGGGUGAACGGACACACUGGAACUGAGACACGGUCCAGACUCCUACGGGAGGCAGCAGUAGGGAAUAUUGCUCAAUGGGGGAAACCCUGAAGCAGCAACGCCGCGUGGAGGAUGAAGGUUUUAGGAUUGUAAACUCCUUUUGUUAGAGAAGAUAAUGACGGUAUCUAACGAAUAAGCACCGGCUAACUCCGUGCCAGCAGCCGCGGUAAUACGGAGGGUGCAAGCGUUACUCGGAAUCACUGGGCGUAAAGAGCGCGUAGGCGGGAUAGUCAGUCAGGUGUGAAAUCCUAUGGCUUAACCAUAGAACUGCAUUUGAAACUACUAUUCUAGAGUGUGGGAGAGGUAGGUGGAAUUCUUGGUGUAGGGGUAAAAUCCGUAGAGAUCAAGAGGAAUACUCAUUGCGAAGGCGACCUGCUGGAACAUUACUGACGCUGAUUGCGCGAAAGCGUGGGGAGCAAACAGGAUUAGAUACCCUGGUAGUCCACGCCCUAAACGAUGGAUGCUAGUUGUUGGAGGGCUUAGUCUCUCCAGUAAUGCAGCUAACGCAUUAAGCAUCCCGCCUGGGGAGUACGGUCGCAAGAUUAAAACUCAAAGGAAUAGACGGGGACCCGCACAAGCGGUGGAGCAUGUGGUUUAAUUCGAGGAUACACGAAGAACCUUACCUAGGCUUGACAUUGAGAGAAUCCGCUAGAAAUAGUGGAGUGUCUGGCUUGCCAGACCUUGAAAACAGGUGCUGCACGGCUGUCGUCAGCUCGUGUCGUGAGAUGUUGGGUUAAGUCCCGCAACGAGCGCAACCCCCUUUCUUAGUUGCUAACAGGUUAUGCUGAGAACUCUAAGGAUACUGCCUCCGUAAGGAGGAGGAAGGUGGGGACGACGUCAAGUCAUCAUGGCCCUUACGCCUAGGGCUACACACGUGCUACAAUGGGGUGCACAAAGAGAAGCAAUACUGCGAAGUGGAGCCAAUCUUCAAAACACCUCUCAGUUCGGAUUGUAGGCUGCAACUCGCCUGCAUGAAGCUGGAAUCGCUAGUAAUCGCAAAUCAGCCAUGUUGCGGUGAAUACGUUCCCGGGUCUUGUACUCACCGCCCGUCACACCAUGGGAGUUGUGUUUGCCUUAAGUCAGGAUGCUAAAUUGGCUACUGCCCACGGCACACACAGCGACUGGGGUGAAGUCGUAACAAGGUAACCGUAGGUGAACCUGCGGUUGGAUCACCUCCUU